GAAGGACAAUCCUUUGCAUGAAAUGGUUGGUUCUUCUGUCCUUCUAUUUCUCUGGUGGUUUAAACCAGGAAGGACAAAGAUUUUAUGAUCAUGGAGACUUGGAAAUAAGUAGUAAGGGAAGGAUAUCUUUUGGACUUUCUGGUUAAGUAAAAUACCCUUUCCUUAUAUGUUCAAAUUUUACAUAUUCAAUAUUAAAGAAACUCCUAUCAGUACUUGAGGAAAGGGGGUUGUAAUUAUCAGGACAUGAUUUACAUUAACAACAUGUUCUGGAAUCAAACACUAGGGGUUAAUCCUUUUCAAAAUUUUGAGAUGUAUUUUCAAUAUUUUUGUUUACUUGCUUUGAAACACAGCUCAUUGUGUUUGGUUUGGGAGCUCGGAUGACAAGACACUAAUGAACUAUGUGACGCUAGAUGACCAUAAUGUAGUUGCUUCUGCAAACUCAACGAUGUAUUAUUUACUCCUGUCACCAUCCUCUUCCAAAUCUCUUUCGAGUUCUAUGGUUGAAACAAUUAAAUACUUGUAAGUCUUGUAGAGAAUCUUUAUAAACUGAAAAUAGGUGCAGAUACAUGAACCAAAGGAGGAUUUGUUUGAUGUUUGGGUGAUCUGAACUAUUCUAACUUCUUUUCUUGCUCAAAUAUGCAAAAUUAAGCCACUGGAGAUGGUGCAGGUGCUACCCCUAUUAAUUUAAAUGACCUGCAACUUUGUAUGCAGAGUGAAGAAUUUCGCCACUCAAUUCACAUAAUGAUAUGUAGGAAACUUUUGUGCAAAGAGAACAUGGCAGAUUUGUUGGUUUGUUUUAGACUAUAUGUUCGAUUGGCUUCCUGAAUUUUGUUUGUCUGUUUCCAGUUGAUUAAGUUUUUAAGUUCAUCUAGAUGUUUUGUAAAAUUCUCUGGUGGGUAUCUACUACUCAAUGUUGCCAGAUUAUCAUUUUUGUCUCACUGUACUUUUUCUGAAAUCCCUUAUGUUGGUUUUGGGUAUAUGUAUUAUGAGCAGAAGGUAGAAGCAAAUUUAUGGUUUUGAUGUCAUCUGACUUCCUUUGAAGUUGAGGCUGUUUUUGCUAUGUAUCUUGCUCAUUUCUGAAGGUUUGGAGCGAUGUAUUGGCUAAUGUAUUUGGUGCUCUAAGUCACAAAAGGUUGGUCAGCCUCCAUACAGUAGUGGUGGUGAAAGGGGUGGUGAGCCAUUCAAAGGACACCAAGGAAAUUUUGGCUACAACCACCUUAGACCCAGUGGAGCUGGCCCAUCUUUCAUUGGAAGACCACAGGGUUGUGGUAGUGGUGGCCCUAAGCAUUUCUCACAACAUGGUUUCCCUUCAACAUCUUCGCAUCCAGAAUCUUCAGUUGCUCCAGCAACACUUCCACCUGAGAAAUCAGAAUCAGCGUCAGCACUUAAAUCAGAAGUUCCAAACAAAACUAAAGUUCGGAACAACCAGAGUCCCCAGGUUGCUUGGUGUGAAAUUUGUAAGGCCGCGUGCAAUAGUUUGGAAAUUCUUGAGAAUCACAAGAAUGGACAGCGACAUAAGAAGAACAUGAAGAAGAUGGAAAAGAUGAAAAAUGCUAUCAGAUCAGGGGAUGAAUUACAGGGCCAACAGAAUCGCACAUCUAAUUCAAAUCUGGAAGUGUCUCAUUUGACUCAGGGUGCACAGGAUGGUGAACAGAACAAACCAACAGAAAAUUUACCCACUGAAGCUGUUAACCAUGUAAAAUCUGCGGAAACUGAACAGCAAAAUAAUAUCCCGGGGCAGCAGCAUGGUCCAAAGCGCAAGAAGAAGCACAAGAUUACUUCUGAAACUGAAACUAAGAAGAUUGUUAUUCCGCUAAUCUGUGAUAUAUGCAACGUCAAGUGUGAUAGGCAGGGGAUUUUUGACCACCAUCUUUCUGGAAAGAAGCAUGUUGCUAACUUCAAAAGAUUUAAAAGUAGCGAAGCUAUAUGUGGGCCAGUCGGGCUUCAAGCUCUUUACCCCCCUAACCCAAUUGCUCAGACUAUUUUCCAUCCCCAAGAAGGGAAAUACAUGCCUCCCCAUGUGUACCAAGAAGUGCCGGUGGGAACAAGUUCAAGUCCCUAAUUUCAAGAAAAUCCUGCGAUCGGAGGGUCAGAAGCCUUGCCUGAAUUGUGGAAACAAUAAUACUGUUACAAUGGCUAUGGAAACCACAGAGAAGUCUGUCACAGAAGAACCGAACAUCAGGCAAGCAGCUACUAUCGAGGCUAAUUGUGUGACUGGUGUUUCAGAGACUAAAGAUCAGGGGCCAAAUCCUCUAUCACAUGACAAUUUUAGAAGCUGACUCUGGUCCAACUUUGUAAACGAAUGAAGCAAUAUAGCCUAAAUAGCAGUACUACUUGCCAUGUACGUGGAAUUUCUUUUGAAUUUUACCCCAUUGAAAAUUUUCUCCUAUGGAAGUUAAGUUUAGCUUAAAUCUAAAUAUCUAUCAGCAUUCUUUGCUUUUCAGUAAGCAGCUCAGCAGUCUCCAGUUAGGAAGUUGAGUUUAGUUUUUUAAACUGGCUGGAAAGCCAGAGGCAUUGUUUGUAUAAAAGAAGGAACCAUCUGUAAUGAAUAGAGUCAUUGAGGAAAUGAAAUUUACAAUGAGAUUUUCUUUGAAA
Prunus dulcis (almond) is the source of this 2595-nucleotide RNA transcript. RefSeq lists it as uncharacterized. Lineage: Eukaryota; Viridiplantae; Streptophyta; Magnoliopsida; Rosales; Rosaceae. The transcript is spliced from 2 exons. The record is from RefSeq and is a predicted model, not a curated record.